CCUACGGGAGGCUGCAGUAGGGAAUCUUCCACAAUGGGCGAAAGCCUGAUGGAGCAACGCCGCGUGGGUGAAGAAGGUCUUCGGAUCGUAAAACCCUGUUGUUAGAGAAGAAAGUGCGUGAGAGUAACUGUUCACGUUUCGACGGUAUCUAACCAGAAAGCCACGGCUAACUACGUGCCAGCAGCCGCGGUAAUACGUAGGUGGCAAGCGUUAUCCGGAUUUAUUGGGCGUAAAGGGAACGCAGGCGGUCUUUUAAGUCUGAUGUGAAAGCCUUCGGCUUAACCGGAGUAGUGCAUUGGAAACUGGGAGACGUGAGUGCAGAAGAGGAGAGUGGAACUCCAGGUGUAGCGGUGAAAUGCGUAGAUAUAUGGAAGAACACCAGUGGCGAAAGCGGCUCUCUGGUCUGUAACUGACGCUGAGGUUCGAAAGCGUGGGUAGCAAACAGGAUUAGAUACCCUGGUAGUC
This 465-nucleotide ribosomal RNA is filed under the name uncultured bacterium. Its description in RNAcentral is "partial 16S ribosomal RNA". It matches the Rfam family "Bacterial small subunit ribosomal RNA", at positions 338 to 795 of the family's 1533-position model. The record is from RNAcentral.